ACCUGGGUGGCUCAGUUGGUUAAGCAUCUGACUUCGGCUCGGGUCAUGAUCUCACCAUUCGUGGGUUCGAGUCCCACUUCUGGCU
This 85-nucleotide transfer RNA is filed under the name Felis catus (domestic cat). It matches the Rfam family "tRNA". From Rfam's summary of the family: Transfer RNA (tRNA) molecules are approximately 80 nucleotides in length. Their secondary structure includes four short double-helical elements and three loops (D, anti-codon, and T loops). Lineage: Eukaryota; Metazoa; Chordata; Mammalia; Carnivora; Felidae. The record is from Rfam by way of RNAcentral.